CUUCAGAUGGUCAGUCAACUAGGGAGAUAGCUAUUCGUUCUGCUCCCACAGCAGGUCAGACCUCCACCUGUCUAGCAGUGCAUCUGAACAGGCUACGGCAUCUGAACUUUAGUUAGGUAGCCUGGGAAAACAUUGGUACGCGAUCCUGUGGACUGGAACUGAGUCACGGCCUGGUUUCAGUAUGAAAUCAGUAACCAUCUGGAAAAUGACCCGACGGUGGCUUCAUUUAGCGGCAGUACCUUGAUCCUGGUGGAUCGACUGGAACCAGCCGUGAUAGAGAGGACUGGUGUAGCGGGACAGGUGUUGGGGUAGAGAGGACAGGUGUAGCGGGACAGGUGUUGGGGUAGAGAGGACUGGUGUAGCGGGACAGGUGUUGGGGUAGAGAGGACUGGUGUAGCGGGACAGGUGUUGGGGUAGAGAGGACUGGUGUAGCGGGACAGGUGUUGGGGUAGAGAGGACUGGUGUAGCGGGACAGGUGUUGGGGUAGAGAGGACAGGUGUAGCGGGACAGGUGUUGGGGUAGAGAGGACUGGUGUAGCGGGACAGGUGUUGGGGUAGAGAGGACUGGUGUAGCGGGACAGGUGUUGGGGUAGAGAGGACUGGUGUAGCGGGACAGGUGUUGGGGUAGAGAGGACUGGUGUAGCGGGACAGGUGUUGGGGUAGAGAGGACUGGUGUAGCGGGACAGGUGUUGGGGUAGAGAGGACUGGUGUAGCGGGACAGGUGUUGGGGUAGAGAGGACUGGUGUAGCGGUAGAGAGGACAGGUGUUGGGGUAGAGAGGACAGGUGUAGCGGUAGAGAGGACAGGUGUAGCGGUAGAGAGGACUGG
Molecule: long non-coding RNA, 826 nt
Organism: Oncorhynchus keta (chum salmon)
Lineage: Eukaryota; Metazoa; Chordata; Actinopteri; Salmoniformes; Salmonidae
Exons: 3
Source: RefSeq, a predicted model, not a curated record